This 253-nucleotide ribosomal RNA is filed under the name uncultured bacterium. RNAcentral's name for it is "partial 16S ribosomal RNA". It matches the Rfam family "Bacterial small subunit ribosomal RNA", at positions 524 to 776 of the family's 1533-position model. The record is from RNAcentral.
UACAGAGGUCUCAAGCGUUGUUCGGAUUCAUUGGGCGUAAAGGGUGCGUAGGCGGCGCGGUAAGUCGGGUGUGAAAUCUUGGAGCUUAACUCCGAAACUGCAUUCGAUACUGCCGUGCUUGAGGACUGGAGAGGAGACUGGAAUUUACGGUGUAGCGGUGAAAUGCGUAGAUAUCGUAAGGAAGACCAGUGGCGAAGGCGGCUCACUGGCCCGUAACUGACGCUGAGGUGCGAAAGCGUGGGGAGCGAACAGG